RNAcentral lists this long non-coding RNA (1224 nucleotides) under Triticum aestivum (bread wheat). RNAcentral describes it as "long non-coding RNA (TAES_LNC007330)". The record is from RNAcentral. Lineage: Eukaryota; Viridiplantae; Streptophyta; Magnoliopsida; Poales; Poaceae.
UUGAACAUAGAACAGAACUGGCAAUUUCUUAUCUUAAAGGACCUGCUAUUCAGUGGUGGAGGGGUACUGGAUAUGCACCCUCCAAUGUGCCAUGGCAUAAAUUCUGUUCUUACCUAUCUGAUAGGUUCUCUGUGGAAUCAGCUUGUGAUGUGGUCAGUAACUUUCAUGCUGCACAUCAAGCAACAACAGUGGCUGCUUAUGUGGAACAAUUUGAGCAAUUGGUCAAUGGAAUGAGGAGAGAAAACCCUGCUAUACCUGAUGACUAUUAUGUCUCCAGCUUUGUCUCAGGCCUCAACCCUUACAUCAGAAGUUUAGUGGAAUGUUUUAAACCAAAAGAUCUGCAAACUGCCGUGUGGUAUGCCAGAAGAAUGGAGAAAUCUCAGCCUUCCUCUCAGUCAGUGCAAAUAAGCAGUAUGUUCCUCAACCAAAAAGACAAGUCAUUUUUGAACAGCCCAAACAACUGCUUCCAACUGCACCACAAAACAGGAAUGUGGUUAUUCAGCAGGCCAAACAGAACCAGGUGUGUUAUAAGUGUAGAGAGCCUUGGGUGCCUGGUCAUAGGCAAGUGUGUAAAAUGAACCAGAAAGCUCAAAUCCAAGCUCUACAAGCUCAAGAAGAUGGAACUCCUGAAACUAUAUUUGUGGCAGAAUAUGAUGAUCAGGAGCUAGACAAUACAGAGCAGCUAACUGAGGAAACAGUACUGAAAGUAUCAAUGCAUGCUGCCAUGGGCAUUGGAGCAACUAAAAAUACUUUCAUACUGACAGUUAAAUUGGGAAAUACUCUGGCAAUUGCACUGGUGGACAGUGGCAGUACUACUACUUUUAUAUCUCCUCAGAUGGCUAGUAAGUUGGAUGUUGUUCCCAGUCCUACACCAAAAACUAAAGUAGUAGUUGCUAGUGGAGGGAUCCUCUAGAGUGAAUUCCAAGCAAAGAACUGUCACUAUGCAAUACAAGGCCAUGCAUUUAUUGACAACUUCAGAGGGCCCCGUACAAAUGGAUUUCAUUUAUUGACAGCUUCAGAGGGCCCCAUACAAGUUAAAAGGCUAUGACAUCAUCUUAGGAGUAGAUUGGUUGAGGAAAUAUAGCCCCAUACAAAUGGAUUUCAUUAAGAUGGAAAUGAAGAUAUCUGCUCCUGAAGGGCAUUUUAUCACUUUUGUGGAUGAAACUGUACCUCUUACUACUGUUACUGAAGUAACUGACCACACUGAGAAAUUAGUGGAACAAG